CAGCAGCCACGGGAAUACGAAGGGGGCUAGCGUUGUUCGGAUUUACUGGGCGUAAAGCGCACGUAGGCGGAUAUUUAAGUCAGGGGUGAAAUCCCAGAGCUCAACUCUGGAACUGCCUUUGAUACUGGGUAUCUUGAGUAUGGAAGAGGUGAGUGGAAUUCCGAGUGUAGAGGUGAAAUUCGUAGAUAUUCGGAGGAACACCAGUGGCGAAGGCGGCUCACUGGUCCAUUACUGACGCUGAGGUGCGAAAGCGUGGGGAGCAAACAGGAUUAGAUACCCCCGUAGUCCCUGUCUCUUAUCA
This 301-nucleotide ribosomal RNA is filed under the name uncultured bacterium. RNAcentral describes it as "partial 16S ribosomal RNA". It matches the Rfam family "Bacterial small subunit ribosomal RNA", at positions 509 to 809 of the family's 1533-position model. The record is from RNAcentral.